GCCCAGAUGGCGGAAUUGGUAGACGCGCUCGACUCAAAAUCGAGUUCCGCAAGGAGUGCUGGUUCGAUCCCGGCUAGGGGCACCA
Molecule: transfer RNA, 85 nt
Filed under: Mesorhizobium sp.
Lineage: Bacteria; Pseudomonadati; Pseudomonadota; Alphaproteobacteria; Hyphomicrobiales; Phyllobacteriaceae
Description: tRNA-Leu
Rfam family: tRNA
About the family: Transfer RNA (tRNA) molecules are approximately 80 nucleotides in length. Their secondary structure includes four short double-helical elements and three loops (D, anti-codon, and T loops).
Source: RNAcentral